RNAcentral lists this long non-coding RNA (1657 nucleotides) under Coturnix japonica (Japanese quail). RNAcentral describes it as "lncRNA (ENSCJPG00005006166.1)". The record is from RNAcentral. Lineage: Eukaryota; Metazoa; Chordata; Aves; Galliformes; Phasianidae.
AGUCUGUUGUGCUCUUUUGUUUUUCUCCAACUUGGAUUUAGGAGGGAUAGAAGGGAGAAUGGACUAAAAGAUGUUUCUCCUUUUGGUUCCUUCAUUUUGGGUGCACAAUGGGGCUCUCUAAGUUGGGGCUGUUUCUUCUCCCCUCUUCUUUUUGACUGUACCACCUUUUUCCCUUGGAAUUUAUUCAUCCCAUUUGUUAUCAGGGUUGCCCUUGCCAGUCUUGGCCCUAUCCCAACUUCAUUUCUAGCCAAGGCACCUGAUCCAUAUUUGUAUCAUGUCACAAACAAGCACUUGCAGUCUCUUCUUUCCCAUCUUGAAUUCCUGCUUUCCUGGUUUUAUCAUCAGCAUGGUGGGGAUGGCAGCUGGCAUUCUACCAAGGGUCCAGCCUCCUCAAGGCCACCUCUGUUUGAAAAGAGAGGCAGAACUUCACUGAGAUGUCCCGGAUUGAUUCAUAGAGAGAUUAACCAUGCAGCAGCAGAACCAAAGCAAGGAUCCGGAGGGACUGAACAGGCAACCAAAAGUAAGUGGCAGAAUCUUCAUUUUACAAAUGGAAGACUGAUUCUUGAAGGAAAUGAAUAUCUUCUUCAGAACUCAGAAUCAGGAGUGGGACUUCUGUGGCUUUGCAACCUAGUCCUGUCGAACUGCCCUUCCUCCUGAGAUGAGGAAUGCUCAAGGUAAGAUUAGAUUCAGAGACUGGAAAGCAAGUUGACUGUUGAGCCGUGUGACAAGAUGUUCUUGUGAAUUUUUAAUUGCUGGCUGUGCAGACGUGUCCUUUGUAAGGCAAUAACCUGAGGAGAUCUGUCCUACAUUUUGGAAACCGUUGUACUUCUGCAACUCUUGGAAUGAGUCUCAAAUGAAAAAUCUGUUCUGUAGCUCAUUCCCUACCAAAGUUCCCUCUAGAUAAAGCUUUAAACCUGUCAACUUAGUGGCUAUUGUUCCAGGAAUUUAUCCUUGGAAGCAAGUGACAGUAUCCCUAAUAUUUGGCUGGAAAGAAAAUCUCUUUGGGGAAAGACUAAAAUGGUGCAAGAUGAUAGUUGCCUGCUUCUUUCUUAUACAAAUUUCAACACUCUGUGAUUUUCUACUUAAGUCAACUCUUAGCUGGUCUCUUACAAAACAACUUUGCAUCUUUUAUCAGCUCGAUGAUGAAAGUUUCUUUUCUACCUGCUUCUUAGAUAUUGGUUUCUUCAUAUUACUACCAGUGUGAUUUUAAUUUCAGGAAACUAAAAACUGUGGUAACUUGUCUAAGAUGUGAAUAUGGGGAGAUCCUUGGAGAUCUUCAAGAAAAAGGGUAGAGGUGGCACUGAGGGAUGUGGUCAGUGGGCAUGGUAGGGAUGGGCUGGGUUUGGAUUGGCAAUCCUGGAGAUAUUUUCUAACCUGAAUGAUUCUAUGAUUCUGCGUCUUCCUGAAAUAUAUGCUGGCACAUCUAUUCUGUGAAGUGAUAAUUCAGGAAAAUUCUGGAGCUCAGAUUCAGCAGUACAUGUGAACAUACCUCAACUUUAAGUCUACAAAUGGCCUCUUGACUUUUGUGGUGAUAUUCGUUUGCUCUAAUUAACACUUUCCCAAGUUCCUGCUGUGCUGCCUCUUUAAGGAGCACCCUUCUUCCUUUACAGCUCCCCACAAGCAAGGUUCUACCCUUCCAUAUACUUUCUGAGGUCUC